RNAcentral lists this transfer RNA (76 nucleotides) under Candidatus Hydrogenedentota bacterium. Its description in RNAcentral is "tRNA-Asn". It matches the Rfam family "tRNA". From Rfam's summary of the family: Transfer RNA (tRNA) molecules are approximately 80 nucleotides in length. Their secondary structure includes four short double-helical elements and three loops (D, anti-codon, and T loops). Further hydrogen bonds mediate the characteristic L-shaped molecular structure. tRNAs have two regions of fundamental functional importance: the anti-codon, which is responsible for specific mRNA codon recognition, and the 3' end, to which the tRNAs corresponding amino acid is attached (by aminoacyl-tRNA synthetases). tRNAs cope with the degeneracy of the genetic code in two manners: having more than one tRNA (with a specific anti-codon) for a particular amino acid; and 'wobble' base-pairing, i.e. permitting non-standard base-pairing at the 3rd anti-codon position. The record is from RNAcentral. Lineage: Bacteria; Pseudomonadati; Candidatus Hydrogenedentota.
ACCUCGGUAACUCAGUUGGUAGAGUAGGUGGCUGUUAACCACCCUGUCACAGGUUCGAGUCCUGUCCGAGGUGCCA